CUUUCCCUCUGGCGGCAUGCCUUACACAUGCAAGUCGAACGGUAACGGGCCUUCGGGUGCCGACGAGUGGCGAACGGGUGAGUAAUACAUCGGAACGUGCCCGAUCGUGGGGGAUAACGAGGCGAAAGCUUUGCUAAUACCGCAUACGAUCUACGGAUGAAAGCAGGGGACCGCAAGGCCUUGCGCGGACGGAGCGGCCGAUGGCAGAUUAGGUAGUUGGUGGGAUAAAAGCUUACCAAGCCGACGAUCUGUAGCUGGUCUGAGAGGAUGAUCAGCCACACUGGGACUGAGACACGGCCCAGACUCCUACGGGAGGCAGCAGUGGGGAAUUUUGGACAAUGGGCGCAAGCCUGAUCCAGCCAUGCCGCGUGCAGGAUGAAGGCCUUCGGGUUGUAAACUGCUUUUGUACGGAACGAAAAGCCUUCUUUUAAUACAGGAGGGUCAUGACGGUACCGUAAGAAUAAGCACCGGCUAACUACGUG
RNAcentral lists this ribosomal RNA (482 nucleotides) under uncultured bacterium. Its description in RNAcentral is "partial 16S ribosomal RNA". It matches the Rfam family "Bacterial small subunit ribosomal RNA", at positions 36 to 507 of the family's 1533-position model. The record is from RNAcentral.